Molecule: long non-coding RNA, 275 nt
Filed under: Elaeis guineensis (African oil palm)
Lineage: Eukaryota; Viridiplantae; Streptophyta; Magnoliopsida; Arecales; Arecaceae
Description: long non-coding RNA (EGUI_LNC012971)
Source: RNAcentral
GUUGCAUGUUAGAAAGAGAUGGUCGCAUGCUUCUUCUUCAGUGCAAUAUGAGGAGCAGAAUGGUUGAACAUCAAUAUUCGUUGUUCUUAGAUUGGUUGCUGUUAGGAAUUUCUAAUUGUAAAUUUCUAUUAUAUCAAUAUUAUGCAUAAAAAGAAACUUUUAUUAUAUCAAAUUGUAAAUGUAUUUUGUUAUUGGGCAUCCCUCUGAAUUUCUAAUGUUGGUCUCCAUUGCUUGGAAAAAAGAUAAUCACCUUAAAUCUCAGUUCUUUUCUGGGC